GUCUGCAAGUCAUUCAAGCAAUUAGGUAAACUUCAGGUUGCUGUCCAUAGAGGACCGGUUGGUUGCUCUGGAGUCGAAAAACUGUGCGGGAGAGACAAACUUUAAGAAGAGAAGACGGCUGCAUAAUCCCAAGCUUGCGGAAGCACGCCGUCUUCACAACUCGGAGACAAAUGCAGGCGCUACCAGAGCAAGGACUAAUCUCGCCUCAUAAUGACCUACAACCCCGAGGAGACAAACGGACAGUUCACGGAGUU
This is a long non-coding RNA of Alosa alosa (allis shad), 254 nucleotides long. RefSeq lists it as uncharacterized. The record is from RefSeq and is a predicted model, not a curated record. Lineage: Eukaryota; Metazoa; Chordata; Actinopteri; Clupeiformes; Clupeidae. The transcript has 3 exons.